RNAcentral lists this long non-coding RNA (1617 nucleotides) under Sus scrofa (pig). Its description in RNAcentral is "lncRNA (ENSSSCG00055030380.1)". The record is from RNAcentral. Lineage: Eukaryota; Metazoa; Chordata; Mammalia; Artiodactyla; Suidae.
UGUGCAGCAGAGAGGAACCCUGGGAGGGAAGUCACUGUGAAGAAAGAGGCAGGCGAUGUAACCGGAAAAGCGCAGGUUUGAUGUCAAACAGACCUGCGUGGUUCCACCGCUUUCCGACUGUGUGACACCUCCCCCCCCCCACCACCGGUCCAGUUGCUCUCUGAACCCAAGUCUUGGAAAAUGGAACCAAUAAUACCUGUUCUUCAAGACUGUUCCUGCUGGAAGCUCCAAGAUUCAUCUGAAGGCGUGAUCACAUCCUCAAUGUUGAGUGGACUAUGAACCGGCUGCCAGAGACAGGGUUCCAAGCCGGGCCAGGCCCAUCCCAAUGCCCACCCGAAAAGACGGGACAGAGGAAAGAAAGAAACAAAAUCCUGGGGCUCCAUUGGCUUUCUUUUUGACUCCAGCUGAAGUUGCUGCAUAGUGUGGCCUUGCCAGUCCUCGCCUUGAAAAGGCUGGAAGCGACUGCCGUGAUGGAUCAUCUAAUCCCACAGCCUCAUUCUGCAGAGGACCCCGAGCCUCGACUUGGCCAAGGUCACACAGCUGGGCCACACCCAUGGCGUAUGGUUUUCAUAUGGAAUCGGAGCUGCAGUUGCCGGCCUAUGCCACAGCCAUAGCAAGGUAGGAUCUGAGCCAAGUCUUUGACCUACACCACAGCUCAUGGCAAUUCCAGAUUCCUGGACCCACUGAGUGAGGCCAGGGAUUGAACACGCACCCUUAUGGAUACUAGUUGGAUCACAACGGAACUCCCUGAAAAAUCAAGGUCUUUAAAGCAUUCAUCAACCCCACCAACAUCUUGGCAUAAGAAAAUUGAUUCUUUCAGGAUCACAAGGCUCCGAGAGGUUAAUUUAUCCACUCCAGGUCACCCAUAUCAUGGAUGGGAGAAGAGGAGGGACCGAAGCUCUCCUGGCACCGUGCCCAGUUCUUUCCAGCCCUUUCUGUCACGUAUGCAGUGCUCUGCAUGAGCCAACGUGGAUCGCACAGCAUGUGAAGCAGCCUUCCCGGAGAACUCGGAAACCGGUCCAGCUUGGAGGAAUCUCAUUAGCACUUUUCAAAGCUUUACCCCGACUGCAUUUUAAGUUGUAUAAUUUUUCUGGAUCUGGAUCUCGAAUGAAUGCUGGUUAUUGGCAAGCACUGCAUCUCAUUCGGGGAAAGCGUUCCUCAUCACAUGAUUCAAACUAUAUCCAAAGACUAGAGAAGAGGAAACACAAAAACGCUUCAAAUGAAAGGCAUUUAGAGAGUCUCCUGCUACUUGACUUAUAAAAAUAAUGGCAAUGAUUCAUAAAGGUCGCUGUCUAAUUCCUUCAAGACUCAAGAAUUCGUGCAUCUGGACCUCCUGGUUGUUCUCUGUUCAGUUUCUCCACGAAGCCCCUUGCCUCUGUUUUGCCACAGCUAAAAUAAAUUACCAGGCUUCUCUUGUCCAUAUACAUGACAAUUCGAGGCUUUAAAACAAUGUACAUUAAAAAAAAAAAAAGGAUUUCGGCAGCUUGGAAAUUUGCAAUGUUAGUAAUGCUUGGUACUUUUUAUCUUGAUAUAUAUAUUUUAAUCACAUCUACACUGUUGGCUGGGGUCAAGUCAUUCUGCAUUUUUUGCUGGGUUAUUUGCUUUUCUCAGCCUUCC